CGCUGGCGGCAUGCCUAACACAUGCAAGUCGAACGGUAACAGGUCUUCGGAUGCUGACGAGUGGCGCACGGGUGAGUAACGCGUGGAUAUCUGCCUAUGAGUGGGGGACAACUUUCGGAAACGAAAGCUAAUACCGCAUAAUCUCUACGGAGCAAAGCAGGGGACCUUUCGGGGCCUUGUGCUKAUAGAUGAGUCCGCGUCAGAUKAGCUAGUUGGUGGGGUAAGAGCCUACCAAGGCGAUGAUCUGUAGCUGGUUUGAGAGGAUGAUCAGUCACACUGGAACUGAGACACGGUCCAGACUCCUACGGGAGGCAGCAGUGGGGAAUUUUGCACAAUGGGGGAAACCCUGAUGCAGCGAUGCCGCGUGUGGGAAGAAGGCCUUUGGGUUGUAAACCACUUUCAAUUGGGAAGAAGGGAUGAGGAUUAAUAAUCCUCUGACUUGACGGUACCUUUAGAAGAAGCACCGGCUAAUUUCGUGCCAGCAGCCGCGGUAAUACGAAAGGUGCAAGCGUUGUUCGGAUUUACUGGGCGUAAAGAGAUCGUAGGUGGUUUGUUAAGUUGGAUGUGAAAUCCCGGGGCUCAACCUCGGAACUGCAUCCAAAACUGGCAGACUUGAGUUCGGGAGGGGUAAGCGGAAUUCCGUGUGUAGCAGUGAAAUGCGUAGAUAUACGGAGGAACACCUGAGGCGAARGCGGCUUACUGGACCGAUACUGACACUGAGGAUCGAAAGCGUGGGUAGCAAACAGGAUUAGAUACCCUGGUAGUCCACGCCCUAAACGAUGUCAACUAGCCGUUGCGGGUAUCGACCCCUGCAGUGGCGCAGCUAACGCGAUAAGUUGACCGCCUGGGGAGUACGGUCGCAAG
This 864-nucleotide ribosomal RNA is filed under the name uncultured Zetaproteobacteria bacterium. Its description in RNAcentral is "bacterial SSU rRNA". It matches the Rfam family "Bacterial small subunit ribosomal RNA", at positions 34 to 892 of the family's 1533-position model. Lineage: Bacteria; Pseudomonadati; Pseudomonadota; Candidatius Mariprofundia. The record is from RNAcentral.